GGAGAGGUGGCCGAGUGGUUGAAGGCGACGGUUUGCUAAACCGUUAUACGGGCUAAAGCCUGUAUCGAGGGUUCGAAUCCCUCCCUCUCCGCCA
This 94-nucleotide transfer RNA is filed under the name Verrucomicrobiota bacterium. Its description in RNAcentral is "Verrucomicrobia bacterium (hot springs metagenome) tRNA-Ser". It matches the Rfam family "tRNA". From Rfam's summary of the family: Transfer RNA (tRNA) molecules are approximately 80 nucleotides in length. Their secondary structure includes four short double-helical elements and three loops (D, anti-codon, and T loops). The record is from RNAcentral. Lineage: Bacteria; Pseudomonadati; Verrucomicrobiota.